UAACUGUGUUACAGGAGUGUCUACAAGUCCAAUAUUGGAGCAGGAACUGUGGGGCCAGCUUCAUGCAGAUCCUCCUCAGCACACAGCCUUUAAAAAGAGAGGACAGAGUGGGAAGAAAACCAGACAGCACAGAUGAUUUGUUUAAGGCCACAGAAUUCUCCUGAAUCCUAGGCAGACAGCACGGCUCUUCAUGCUGACACCUGGAAAGGCUGGAGGAGCUGGAGGAGCCGGAGUUACUGCUGUAUUGAGCUGAGAUAGAUCUGGUACUCCGGUUAGUCUCCUCUGACCUUGAGGAUGGUUUCCAGAGGCAUUACUGGACAUGUGUUGGGAAGGUGGGGAGAGAUACGUGGUUUAAAUACACAGUCCAGAACCUGCUUCCCUGGUGCAUCUGGCAGCAGUCUGAUUGUACAGAGCCACGGUUUAUUCCGCCCUUGUGUUUCUCUUGAGUGUAAGUUAUGA
RNAcentral lists this long non-coding RNA (459 nucleotides) under Dromaius novaehollandiae (emu). Its description in RNAcentral is "lncRNA (ENSDNVG00000006434.1)". Lineage: Eukaryota; Metazoa; Chordata; Aves; Casuariiformes; Dromaiidae. The record is from RNAcentral.